Molecule: ribosomal RNA, 450 nt
Filed under: uncultured soil bacterium
Lineage: Bacteria
Description: bacterial SSU rRNA
Rfam family: Bacterial small subunit ribosomal RNA
Source: RNAcentral
GAAUUCGAUUAACGCGAAGAACCUUACCCAGGCUCGAACGGUGAUGGACAUCCGGCGAAAGCCGGCUCCCGCAAGGGCCGUCAUCGAGGUGCUGCAUGGCUGUCGUCAGCUCGUGUCGUGAGAUGUUGGGUUAAGUCCCGCAACGAGCGCAACCCUUGUCCGCUGUUGCCAUCAGGUUAUGCUGGGCACUCUGCGGAGACUGCCGGUGAUAAACCGGAGGAAGGUGGGGAUGACGUCAAGUCAGCAUGGCCUUUAUGUCUGGGGCUACACACGUGCUACAAUGGCCGGUGCAAACCGUCGCGAUCUCGCGAGAGGGAGCUAAUCGGAGAAAGCCGGUCUCAGUUCGGAUUGCAGGCUGCAACUCGCCUGCAUGAAGUUGGAAUCGCUAGUAAUCGCGGAUCAGCACGCCGCGGUGAAUACGUUCCCGGGCCUUGUCACACCGAAUCACUA